Long non-coding RNA from Hyla sarda, 381 nucleotides. RefSeq lists it as uncharacterized. The transcript is spliced from 3 exons. Lineage: Eukaryota; Metazoa; Chordata; Amphibia; Anura; Hylidae. The record is from RefSeq and is a predicted model, not a curated record.
GAGUGUCUGGUGUCCUGAGGAGAUCCAAGGCCUAACCGCGCAGCCGUGCUUCCAUCAAAAAGUGCCCCACAGGUGAACAUCAAAGCCUGUGUCUACAAAAGUUGAUCUGGUGGCAAAAAAAUUUCAAUCAUACUGUGACUUAAAGUAAUUGCGGAGGCCACCCGGCGGAGGUGAGGAGCGAAGCUCAGGUUUCAAAGGGUGAACUCCAUGGCUUGCGUAGGACGGAAUAAUAAAAGGAGCCUGAAACCGUAUUUGGAAUGAUUGGAAGUGAAAUAUUACAUUGUAACAAGUGGGAAGAACUUUGGACCAGGGACCCUUACCAGGUCACUUACAAGUCUGGGUAAUUUCUGUUCCCUUGGAAAAUUAUCACCUAAGAAAACA